RNAcentral lists this microRNA precursor (209 nucleotides) under Oryza glumipatula. Its description in RNAcentral is "MIR812 microRNA precursor family". It matches the Rfam family "MIR812 microRNA precursor family". The record is from Rfam by way of RNAcentral. Lineage: Eukaryota; Viridiplantae; Streptophyta; Magnoliopsida; Poales; Poaceae.
AAUAAGUGCAGUUUUACACUAUUCACGUUCAACGUUUGACCGUCCGUCUUAUUUGAAAAAUUUGUGAAAAAAUUAAAAACAUUUAGUCACACAUAAAGUACUAUUCAUGUUUUAUCAUCUAAUAGCAAUAAAAAUAAUAAUCAUAAAAAAAUUUCAAAUAAGACGGAUGGUCAAACGUUAAACAUGAAUAGUGCAAAACUGCACUUAUU